This is a long non-coding RNA of Serinus canaria (Common canary), 2347 nucleotides long. RefSeq lists it as uncharacterized. The transcript is spliced from 4 exons. The record is from RefSeq and is a predicted model, not a curated record. NCBI's taxonomy places the organism in Eukaryota, Metazoa, Chordata, Aves, Passeriformes, Fringillidae.
AGAAGAAGAAGAAGAAGGAGAAAUGGUGAAGACUUUUGUCUUUUCUUCAGAUGGAGAGAGGGCAGAGGAGGGAGCCCUGGCUGGUGCACUGCCUGAGGACUGUGCUGCUGAUGGUGCAGGCUGUAAGUGACAGGAGUCAAAACUCGCCUCAAAAUGCACCGAGCACAGACACAGCAGGUUGCACAGAAGCCUACAAUCCUCCUGUAUCUGAAAUAUUUCCUGCUAUCUUUAAAGAUUUUCCUUCUCACAGACUUGCUUUUUGAGAGAAGAAACAUUGAUGCAGCUCUCCUAGAUUUCAAGUGUCUCCAAGGCCUGUGGAGGUUUGACAGGAUUCCCAGGAACAGAACUUUUGCCCACAGUGCUGCCCCAUUAUCUCCCUCACACAUAAUGGAGCUGGAGGCUUGUGGUUGAGUGACCUCAGCAUCGUUGCGAAAGAGGUUUGCUUGCAUUAUUCCCCCACACGUGAUUCCAUAAGAGACACCACUCCAUGCCUGUUUUUUUUUUUUUUCUUUACUCUUUCCUCUCAGAGGAAAAGCACUGGAUAAACUCUGAUAUGUGCCCCUCUAUCUGUGGAACCCAUGCUGGGCAAUUUCUGGCAGUGCCCUCUGGUGUGGGGGCGUUUUGCCCCAGGAGGGCAGCACUCUUGGAGAGCAGUGCAUGGCUGUGCCAUGGCUGGAGCUGUGUGAAGGAGCUUUGCUGCUUUUUGUUUGAUACACUAAAGAUACCUCGACUCCAGAUAAGGUUCUGUGAACAGGCAGAGCCCAGCACUGACCUCGUGGUGCCUGUGUGCCAGCCCAGAGCACUCUGGCUCUCCUAAAAUUGGAGGAUGGGCAUCUGGGUCCUGUCGUAUGGGUGCAGGAAGGAAGAAACAGAGUCUGGAAUGAAACAGAUUUUUUCUUUCUCUAGAAAAGCUGAAAUCCUGGGAGGGCAGAACAUGGAGAAAUCCAGUUCUUUUAAAUUUCUCUAUCGAGUAUGUACUUACAGCACUGCUUUUCCCCUCCUGCUUUCUUUGAAUAGAGAUGUUUGGGCAAUGGGCAGUUAGAGAAGAAGUUGUCUUCUCCCUCGCUGAGCACUCUUUGCUAGUGGGAAAAAGCAGACCAACUAAAGUGUGCCUGCACCCCAGGCUCUGGUCAGAGGGGGGAAUAUCUUGUAAAACUGUCUUCCUGCAUGUUUGCAAAGCACUUCAGGGUCUGAUUGUAUUACUACAGUGCUGAUAAUAAACUUUGUUAAUAAUGAAAGCAGGAAGAAACUGUUUACUGGGUGCUGCAUGAGGAAGGCAAAGUUGGCUAUGGCUGCUUCCAAAUGUGUGGAGACUGGGACAAGGAACUGCGUGUGCAGGGUGGUGUUCUGAAAAAGAUUGCUUCUGAAAUCCAAAUGAGGACGUAGGGGAGCAAUCCUUCAUGUGUUUGUAGCUGAUUUGAUGUAAAACCUCUCUCACAUGAUGAGACCCAGUCCCAUUGCAGGUUUACAGGAAUCCCCAGGCAGCAGGGAGGCAGUGAGUGGGUGCCACAGGGCAAGGCAGGCUCAGAUCUGACACUGCCAGCAGCACAAUGAACCUCCCCACUGCCGUGCAGGGCAGCUCUGCUCAGUUAAUUAGGUCUCCCCAGUGUUCUGGAAUAAAGAUGUUCUCUGAGUGACAACUGGUUCAGACAGGAGACUCCCAGCAGCAAGCAAGUAGAGCCAGUAAAGAGAUGGGAACACACAGUAGCUUCUCCCUGUGCAGGAGCAGAGGGUUCCAGCUGUGUAAUAACAGAGGCAGUCAUAUUGCAUGAAGAGAUCUCAUUUGGUUCUUGGUUGAAACCUGGAUGAAGUCCAGGUGCUUCAGAGGGCUAAACCAUCACCUCCUCCAAGAUGCACUGCUUGUGGUGUGGGUGCUGGGCACACAGAGGGGCCCUGGAAGCCACGAAAGCUCUGCAAGUCACAGGUGCCACCGUGAUCUCCACUCCUGAGUCAGGGCCCGUGCCGGCUGCCAAACCGUGCGUGGUGAUUACACAGUGUGGACACCUCGUCAGCUGCUGAGGCCUUCUGACUCAUUCCCACUUAGAAUCUAGAUGACAGUUUGGUUUGAAUUAGCAGUGGGCUGAAGCCAAAAUCCUGGGUCUGAACUUCCUCAGAUUUUGGGAAGACUCCAGUCUGGAUCCAAGCUUAGCACAUGGCUGUAACUUACUCAAAGAUUGGAGCCAAACCCUGGAUCAGAACGUUCCCAGACUAUGGGGAAGCUCACAGCCCGUCUUUGAUGCUGGGAUCAUCACAAGGAUGAAAUACUGCCCUCUUCUUAAGAUGCUCCUUGCUUUCUUCCUCAGCUGGUGCAUUUUUAGGCCUGCAAUUGUUACAUUUCAGUUCUUAC